Molecule: ribosomal RNA, 253 nt
Filed under: uncultured bacterium
Lineage: Bacteria
Description: partial 16S ribosomal RNA
Rfam family: Bacterial small subunit ribosomal RNA
Source: RNAcentral
UACGUAGGGCGCAAGCGUUGUCCGGAAUUAUUGGGCGUAAAGAGCUCGUAGGCGGUUUGUCGCGUCUGCUGUGAAAACCCGAGGCUCAACCUCGGGCCUGCAGUGGGUACGGGCAGACUAGAGUGUGGUAGGGGAGACUGGAAUUCCUGGUGUAGCGGUGGAAUGCGCAGAUAUCAGGAGGAACACCAAUGGCGAAGGCAGGUCUCUGGGCCACAACUGACGCUGAGGAGCGGAAGCGUGGGGAGCGAACAGG